CGGGGAAGGCGCCUCGGCGGCUCGCCGCCGCUCGCGGGCGGAUGUGCAGCGGACAGCUUGGCUGGGGGAUUGAAUGAAAGCAGGUCAGUUCAUAAAGCGAGCUGAACUUCCACCUCUUUCUUUGGGGUUUUGUCGAGUCGAGUAACGAAGGCUGUGGAAACGCUGUUGAAGGGCAGAUCGUUCCCCUUGUGCAGGCUGUUAGUGAAAAGAGCGUGCUGCGUUCAUCCAGAUACCUCUGCUGCUGGAGGACCUGCAGGUGCAUCGCUUUUCUUCUAACAGGAGAGCUGAUAUUAUGUGCCCAAGUACUGGACUCUUCUCAGCCCCCGAUCUCUACGAUGAGUGGGAUAGGCUGUGUAUCACUUCAUUUAUGCUGUUUCACACUGACUGGUAAGUUUUCAAAGCAGCAUAAGAAAGGUAGUAUGCUUCCACAAAUAUUACUACUUUUAUAUAGGAUAUUAAUAUUUGUUGCCCCACUAUUUUAACAGUUAAUUCGUUAUAUAAAAGUAUUUUACCACACUUGCUUUUCUUACAUGUUAUGCCCAGGAAUUUGKUUUUUUUCCUCAUUAAAUCCU
This 572-nucleotide long non-coding RNA is filed under the name Dromaius novaehollandiae (emu). RNAcentral describes it as "lncRNA (ENSDNVG00000013605.1)". The record is from RNAcentral. Lineage: Eukaryota; Metazoa; Chordata; Aves; Casuariiformes; Dromaiidae.